RNAcentral lists this ribosomal RNA (629 nucleotides) under uncultured bacterium. RNAcentral's name for it is "bacterial SSU rRNA". It matches the Rfam family "Bacterial small subunit ribosomal RNA", at positions 93 to 743 of the family's 1533-position model. The record is from RNAcentral.
UAGUGGCGCACGGGUGAGUAAUGCAUAGAUAAUGUGCCCCUUAGUUCGGGAUAGCCACUGGAAACGGUGAUUAAUACCGGAUACUCCUUCUUGUUAUAAGACAAGUCGGGAAAGUUUUUCGCUAAGGGAUCAGUCUAUGUUCCAUCAGCUUGUUGGUGAGGUAAUGGCUCACCAAGGCUAUGACGGAUAUCUGGUUUGAGAGGAUGAUCAGACACACUGGAACUGAGACACGGUCCAGACUCCUACGGGAGGCAGCAGUGAGGAAUAUUGCACAAUGGAGGAAACUCUGAUGCAGCAACGCCGCGUGGAGGAUGACGCAUUUCGGUGUGUAAACUCCUUUUAUUAGGGAAGAUAAUGACGGUACCUAAUGAAUAAGCACCGGCUAACUCCGUGCCAGCAGCCGCGGUAAUACGGAGGGUGCAAGCGUUACUCGGAAUCACUGGGCGUAAAGGGUGCGUAGGCUGGCUUUUAAGUCAGAUGUGAAAUCCAAUGGCUCAACCAUUGAACUGCAUUUGAAACUGAAAGCCUAGAGUUCAGAAGGGGCAGAUGGAAUUAGUGGUGUAGGGGUAAAAUCCGUAGAUAUCACUAGAAAUAUCAAAAGCGAAGGCGAUCUGCUGGGAUGAUACUGA